Molecule: unclassified non-coding RNA, 447 nt
Filed under: Hevea brasiliensis (rubber tree)
Lineage: Eukaryota; Viridiplantae; Streptophyta; Magnoliopsida; Malpighiales; Euphorbiaceae
Source: RNAcentral
UUCCAUAGGGAUUUAGAAAUGCAGAAAAGGCAGAUCAUGGAGAGAGCACAAGCUGAAAUAGCUAAAAUUCAGCAAGGUGAUGAUGACAAUAAUGACAUCUCUGCUGAUAAUGCCAGUGGAUAAUAUGCUUCUAGAUCUUAUUUGCAUCUGUAACAUUAAUUAGCAUAUUAGCUAGUUGUUGUAUAAUGUUGGGGCCUUCUUUUACUCUUCCAAGGCAAUUGAAUUGUUGGCGAUAUUGUAUUGGCUAUACCAGAAGAAAUAACGUAAUGCUUGAGGAUUUAUUCAUUCAACUUUGCUCCUAGGUAGAUGUAUCCAGCUCUAUUUGGGCAACAGUUAAGAUUUCUUAUCGAAUGCAAUUGCCGGCAACUGAGCUGCAGCCUGUGAUGGGAGAUCUCUUGAGUUUCUGUGCCAUGAUUGGAAAUUUCACAUUAAGAUAUUCCUUCUGGU